RNAcentral lists this non-coding RNA (135 nucleotides) under Gouania willdenowi (blunt-snouted clingfish). Lineage: Eukaryota; Metazoa; Chordata; Actinopteri; Blenniiformes; Gobiesocidae. The record is from RNAcentral.
GUGUUGUAUGAAAGGAGAGAAUGUUAACACUUAGGAUGCAGGAAGCACAUGGAUGGAACUGUCCCAUGUGACCUGGAAUAUAUAUACGAUUAAGGCACUGCCUGCUACUUCGUGGUAUCUCUAACAAAGUUUAUU